AUUCCACGAUGAGAGCAUGAUGCAAUGAUGUAGUCCUAGAGAUGCUCCCAAGCUUCCGAUACAGUCUCAUCUUGGAGCUGCUAGAAACUGGAGAUACGAUUCCAAAGGGC
RNAcentral lists this small nucleolar RNA (110 nucleotides) under Dichanthelium oligosanthes. Its description in RNAcentral is "Plant small nucleolar RNA R71". It matches the Rfam family "Plant small nucleolar RNA R71". From Rfam's summary of the family: R71 is a member of the C/D box family of snoRNAs containing the C (UGAUGA) and D (CUGA) box motifs. Multiple nearly identical copies of this snoRNA have been identified in Arabidopsis, and it is thought to function as a 2'-O-ribose methylation guide for 18S ribosomal RNA. Lineage: Eukaryota; Viridiplantae; Streptophyta; Magnoliopsida; Poales; Poaceae. The record is from Rfam by way of RNAcentral.